Small nucleolar RNA from Nymphaea colorata (pocket water lily), 196 nucleotides. RefSeq annotates it as small nucleolar RNA U3. The record is from RefSeq and is a predicted model, not a curated record. The transcript has a single exon. NCBI's taxonomy places the organism in Eukaryota, Viridiplantae, Streptophyta, Magnoliopsida, Nymphaeales, Nymphaeaceae.
ACGACCUUACUUGAACAGGAUCUGUUCUAUAGGUUGUACAACUGAAUCUUUAACCUCUAAGGAGACGGAGAUCAAAGUCUGGAGGAGGAACCACGACCUCUUGACCUGAGCGUGAAAGUUUGGGUAAAGCGGAGGAUCGUUCUGCGGCCGACUCGGUCAGCCAUGGAUGAAUGGUCUUGAGGUUGUCUGACAGACC